Molecule: ribosomal RNA, 425 nt
Filed under: uncultured bacterium
Lineage: Bacteria
Description: partial 16S ribosomal RNA
Rfam family: Bacterial small subunit ribosomal RNA
Source: RNAcentral
GCCAGCAGCCGCGGUAAUACAGAGGGUGCRAGCGUUAAUCGGAAUUACUGGGCGUAAAGCGUGCGUAGACGGUWAUGUAAGUCGGGUGUGAAAGCCCCGGGCUCAACCUGGGAAUKSCAUUCGAGACUGCAUWGCUWGGGUGCGGAAGAGGGAAGCGGAAUUUCMGGUGUAGCGGUGAAAUGCGUAGAUAUCKGAAGGAACACCAGUGGCGAAAGCGGCUUCCUGGUCCRRCACCGACGUUCAGGCACGAAAGCGUGGGGAGCAAACRGGAYUAGAUACCCUGGUAGUCCACGCCAUAAACGAUGAGAACUAGACGUUGAGAGGGUAAGCCUMCCAGUGUCGUAGCUAACGCGCUAAGUUCUCCGCCUGGGGAGUACGGCCGCAAGGUUGAAACUCAAAGGAAUUGACGGGGGCCCGCACAAGAA